UUAUUCUAGAGUUUGAUCAUGGCUCAGAUUGAACGCUGGCGGCAGGCCUAACACAUGCAAGUCGAACGGUAGCACAGAGAGCUUGCUCUCGGGUGACGAGUGGCGGACGGGUGAGUAAUGUCUGGGAAACUGCCUGAUGGAGGGGGAUAACUACUGGAAACGGUAGCUAAUACCGCAUAAUGUCGCAAGACCAAAGAGGGGGACCUUCGGGCCUCUUGCCAUCAGAUGUGCCCAGAUGGGAUUAGCUAGUAGGUGGGGUAACGGCUCACCUAGGCGACGAUCCCUAGCUGGUCUGAGAGGAUGACCAGCCACACUGGAACUGAGACACGGUCCAGACUCCUACGGGAGGCAGCAGUGGGGAAUAUUGCACGAUGGGCGCAAGCCUGAUGCAGCCAUGCCGCGUGUAUGAAGAAGGCCUUCGGGUUGUAAAGUACUUUCAGCGGGGAGGAAGGUGUUGUGGUUAAUAACCACAGCAAUUGACGUUACCCGCAGAAGAAGCACCGGCUAACUCCGUGCCAGCAGCCGCGGUAAUACGGAGGGUGCAAGCGUUAAUCGGAAUUACUGGGCGUAAAGCGCACGCAGGCGGUCUGUCAAGUCGGAUGUGAAAUCCCCGGGCUCAACCUGGGAACUGCAUUCGAAACUGGCAGGCUGGAGUCUUGUAGAGGGGGGUAGAAUUCCAGGUGUAGCGGUGAAAUGCGUAAAGAUCUGGAGGAAUACCGGUGGCGAAGGCGGCCCCCUGGACAAAGACUGACGCUCAGGUGCGAAAGCGUGGGGAGCAAACAGGAUUAAAUACCCUGGUAGUCCACGCCGUAAACGAUGUCGAUUUGGAGGUUGUGCCCUUGAGGCGUGGCUUCCGGAGCUAACGCGUUAAAUCGACCGCCUGGGGAGUACGGCCGCAAGGUUAAAACUCAAAUGAAUUGACGGGGGCCCCCCCAAGCGGGGGAGCAUGGGGUUUUAUUUCGAUG
Molecule: ribosomal RNA, 965 nt
Filed under: uncultured Enterobacter sp.
Lineage: Bacteria; Pseudomonadati; Pseudomonadota; Gammaproteobacteria; Enterobacterales; Enterobacteriaceae
Description: bacterial SSU rRNA
Rfam family: Bacterial small subunit ribosomal RNA
Source: RNAcentral